GAAAUGCGAUAAGUAAUGUGAAUUGCAGAAUUCAGUGAAUCAUCGAAUCUUUGAACGCACCUUGCGCUCCUUGGUAUUCCUUGGAGCAUGCCUGAUUGAGUAUCAUGAAAUCUUCAAAGUAAAUCUUUUGUUAACUCAAUUGGCUUCUACUUUGGUAUUGGAGGUCUUUGCAGCUUCACACCUGCUCCUCUUUGUUCAUUAGCUGGAUCUCAGUGUUAUGCUUGGUUCCACUCGGCGUGAUAAGUUAUCUAUCGCUGAGGACACUGUAAAAGGUGGCCAAGGUAAAUGCAGAUGAACCGCUUCUAAUAGUCCAUUGACUUGGACAAUACUUUUAUGAUCUGAUCUCAAAUCAGGUAGGACUACCCGCUGAACUUAAGC
This 378-nucleotide unclassified non-coding RNA is filed under the name plant metagenome. RNAcentral's name for it is "partial contains 5.8S ribosomal RNA, internal transcribed spacer 2, and large subunit ribosomal RNA". The stretch from base 1 to 105 matches the Rfam family "5.8S ribosomal RNA", at positions 50 to 154 of the family's 154-position model. The record is from RNAcentral.